Molecule: small RNA, 2254 nt
Filed under: Pongo abelii (Sumatran orangutan)
Lineage: Eukaryota; Metazoa; Chordata; Mammalia; Primates; Hominidae
Description: retained intron
Source: RNAcentral
UGGGGACUUACGAGUGAUUCCUGUUUAAUAGUUUUUCUGAUCUCUCAGUUGGGAUUCCGUGAGAACCCUAAAUUUGGGGUCUCCUGGAUUGGGGCUCAGUUUCACACUUCGGAGGCAUUUGAUGAAGGACAUAGGUUCUCUUUAUUUGGAGAUUUCCUGAAGAUCCUCUUUUCGAGGUUUGCGGACCCCAUGGAUAGGCGGCCCAGUGGGAUUUCUUAAGAUGGAUUUUGGCUUUUCUCCGUUUAGCGUUCUCCUGCUCUCGGUUUGGGGUGAGAGCACCCUUCCUAACGGUCUUCGGGAACUGUGCGCGCCGGCUGCAAUGGGGCCGCAUUUUACCUUCCUGUGUGCGGCGCUGGCCCGUUGCUUGCUUCCUGCCGAGGGGUGUGUUAUAUGUGACCCGUCUGUCGUGCUGGCGCUAAAGGCCCUGGAGAAAGAUUACCUGCCUGGCCACCUGGAUGCGAAGCAUCACAAAGCCAUGAUGGACAGAGUAGAGAACGCCGUGAAGGAUUUCCAGGAGCUGCCGCUUAAUGAGGAUGCCUAUAUGGGGGUCGUUGGUGAGGGCAGGGGGGACCACGGACCCCUGGGUCCUGGGAAAGGAGGGAGAUAAGACCAGGGGGAGGAAGAGGCUGUCAGCAGGGUCUCCGGGAUUCGGGAAUGGAGAAGGCUGAGAUGCAGAUUCCGAGGUUCCCCGGGGCUAGUAAAUACUGUUUUCCCUAUCCUUAGUAGGCAAUUUUAUGUAAUAAAACUACAACUCCCACAAGGCAACGGGCGGCUGAGUCCUUAACCAGGCUUAUCCUUGCCCAAUGGCCUUAUGGGUAUUGUAGUUUCUAAGAUUAGGCGCGCCAAUGAAACAGUAAGGCUGGAAUCUGGGGUUAUAUCUCCUCUGACAGAUGAGGCCACACUGCAAAAGGGGUCCUGGAGUUUGCUGAAGGAUCUGAAACGCAUCACAGACAGUGAUGUAAAAGGCGAUCUCUUCGUGAAGGAGCUAUUUUGGAUGUUGCACUUGCAAAAGGAAACCUUUGCCACCUAUGUUGCUCGAUUCCAAAAAGAAGCUUACUGUCCCAACAAAUGUGGUGAGUCCAGAUUACAGAAGUUAACCCUCAUCUUACCCUCUGAAUAGUCAACCUCCCCAUUCGCCUUUUUGGAUCCUGGUGGUUUUGUCAUUCUUUGCCUUGGAGAGGUUCCUGGGUCUCCAGUAUUCUUUCUCCAACGUGGAUUUCUUGGGGAGCAGGUCAUAUUCUACUUACAUUCUUUUUUUUUUUUUUUUUUUUUUUGAGACAGUCUCACCCUGUCGCCCAGGCUGGAGUGCAGUGGCACGAUCACGGCUCACUGCAACCUCUGCCUCCCAGGUUCAAACUAUUCUCCUGCCUCAGCCCCCUGAGUAGCUGGGAUUACAGGUGUCCGCCAUCACACCCAGCUAAUUUUUGUAUUUUUAGCAGAGAUGGGGUUUCACCAUGUUGGUCAGGCUAGUCUUGAACUCCUGACCUUGUGAUCCGCCCGCCUCGGCCUCCCAAAGUGCUGGGAUUACAAGAGUAAGCCACCACAGUGGCUUUACAGUGUAAGUAAAGAGUCUACUUACACUCUUUACUGAGCCUUGUUGGAGCCCACUUCCUACUUACCUGCGUCCUGGUCCUGUCCCUUUGUCUGAACAUCUAGGAAUGUCAUAGAUGACCUGGCCCCAGCCCUUAGCCCUGACCUCUCCUUUUAGCCAUGCCCCUUAGUGGGCAAGUACAAGCCUUGACGACCCUGCCCCUCCAGGUGUGAUGUUGCAAACUCUGAUCUGGUGCAAGAACUGCAAAAAGGAGGUUCACGCUUGUCGAAAGUCCUACGAUUGCGGGGGUGAGAGAACUGGACCCAGCAGGAGGAAUUGGUGCAGGUGGGGUGGGGCGAGAGAAGAGGCAGUCUAGAGAGAGCCUAGAUGGGGGUGUGGGGGCAGUAGACAAGAAAAGGUAGGGUUUAGGCCAGGUACAGUGGCUCACACCUAUAAUCCCAGCACUUUGAGAGGCUGAGACGGGAGGAUCAGGAAGCCAGGAGUUUGAGACCAGCCUGGGCAACAUAGCCAGACUCCACCUCUACAAAAAAAUUUAAAAAUUAGCCAGGUGUGGUGUUGCGUUCCUGUAGUCCCAGCUACUUGGAAGGCUGAGGCAGGAGGAUUGCUUGGACCCAGGAGUUGGAGACUGCAGUGAGCUAUGAUCAUACCACUGCACUCCACCCCAGGCAAAAGAGUGAGACCUUGUCUAAAAAAGAAAAAAAA